UCGCCUGUUUACCAAAAACAUGGCUUCGUGUAAGCAUUAAAAUGCGAAGUCGGACCUGCCCAGUGAAGUUUAAACGGCCGCGGUACUCUGACCGUGCAAAGGUAGCAUAAUCAUUUGCCUUAUAAUUGAAGGCUGGAAUGAAUGGUUUGACAAGAAUACACCUGUCUCUUUUAGAUUAUUUAGAAUUUUAUCUUUAGGUGAAAAAGCCUAGAUUUUAUUAAAAGACAAGAAGACCCUAUCGAGCUUCAGAAAAAUUAAUAGAGUAAUUACGCUUAAUAUUAAUUAAAAAAAAAGCUAUUAAAUACUUUGGUUGGGGCAACCGAGGAGUAAAUAAAGCCUCCUUUGAAUAAAGAAGUCUUACUUGAGAUGAUCCAAGAAUUUUGAUCAAUGGAAUUAGUUACCGUAGGGAUAACAGCAUUAUCUUUUUUGAGAGCCCAUAUCGAAAAAAAGGUUUGUGACCUCNAUGUUGGACCAGAAUAUCCUAAAGAUGCAGAAGUCUUUGAGGGUUGGUCUGUUCGACCAUUAAAAUUCUACGUGAUCUGAGUUCAGACCGGCC
This 556-nucleotide ribosomal RNA is filed under the name Conus miliaris. RNAcentral describes it as "partial 16S ribosomal RNA". It matches the Rfam family "Bacterial large subunit ribosomal RNA", at positions 1796 to 2621 of the family's 2925-position model. Lineage: Eukaryota; Metazoa; Mollusca; Gastropoda; Neogastropoda; Conidae. The record is from RNAcentral.